Molecule: unclassified non-coding RNA, 142 nt
Filed under: soil metagenome
Description: partial internal transcribed spacer 1
Source: RNAcentral
CAAGAAACGAGGCUACGUGCCCCGCUCUUUACCUUGCCUACUGCACUAUCUGUUGCUUCCCGGCGGCGGACUGCCCGCCGCCAGGGACGUUGAUACAAUCCUGUAUAGAAGCAUUGAAGCUCUGAGAAAACGCGAAAUCGUA